Molecule: long non-coding RNA, 661 nt
Organism: Nelumbo nucifera (sacred lotus)
Lineage: Eukaryota; Viridiplantae; Streptophyta; Magnoliopsida; Proteales; Nelumbonaceae
Source: RefSeq, a predicted model, not a curated record
UCCAACCCUCAUUCUCCUCUCUCUCGUCACUUCCUCCUUCAAAAUCCACCGCCCAUGUUCAGCUUCCUUGCCUCCUCUUCCUCCUUUUUCCUUUUUUUUUUCACUAACUAAAAUAUGGUUUUAUGUUUUGCAAAUCUGCUCCUACUCUAUUUGGGAUCGAUCUACUUCUUCACUGCUACCUUUAACUAGUUUUUCACACCAGUCAAUCUAGGCAAUCGCUGCUUGUUUUUGGUGCUAGGCAAGUUAUACCAUCCACCCUAAGGAUUGUUCAGUCUUACCUCAAAUAUUCUCUUCUUGUGGGGUUAUCAUCUAGUUAUGGACGAGUGAUAGUGGUAAUGGAUAAAGAUUUCUGCACAGACAGUGCUGGAAACAAGUUUACGAGAAGUUCAAAUUCGAGUUCUGUUGUACACGGUGGAUCAUUAUCGAAUGCUGAUCCUGGUUAUCCGGGUCUCAGGAGGGGUGGAGUGGAUACGAACCUACCUCCAGCAUUUUCUUGCACAAAGUGGUUUUUCUCAGACUUGCACAAUGGGGUGGAGUGGAUACCGAAUGCUAAUCCAAGCUAACACAUUUUUCCACUCACAUUAUUCUUUUGGUAUAUUGCUUCUCUAGAUAGAAGAAAUGUAUUUGUGAACUUGAACUCGUAUCCCAGAUAGAACUAUAG